CCUACGGGUGGCAGCAGUGAGGAAUAUUGCUCAAUGGGCGCGAGCCUGACCCAGCCAAGUCGCGUGAGGGAUGACUGCCCUAUGGGUUGUAACCGUCUUUUGUAAAGGAAUAAAGUGAGGCACGUGUGCCUUUUUGUCUGUACUUUAUGAUUAAGGCACGGGUAACUCCGUGCCAGCAGCCGCGGUUAUACGGAGGAACCGGGCGUUAGCCGGAUUUCUUGGGGUUAAAAGGAGCGUAGAUGGGUUGUUAAGUCAGUUGUGAAAGUUUGGGGCUCAAACGGAAAAUGGAAAUUGAUACUGGCAGGCUUGAGUACAGUUGAGGUAGGCGGAAUUCGUGGUGUAGCGGUGAAAUGCGUAGAUAUCACGAAGAACACCGAUGGCGAAGGCAGCUUACUAAACUGCCACUGACAUUGAUGCGCGAAAGCGGGGGUAGCAAACAGGAUUAGAGACCCGAGUAGUC
Molecule: ribosomal RNA, 460 nt
Filed under: uncultured bacterium
Lineage: Bacteria
Description: partial 16S ribosomal RNA
Rfam family: Bacterial small subunit ribosomal RNA
Source: RNAcentral